RNAcentral lists this long non-coding RNA (563 nucleotides) under Brassica rapa (field mustard). RNAcentral's name for it is "long non-coding RNA (BRAP_LNC004189)". Lineage: Eukaryota; Viridiplantae; Streptophyta; Magnoliopsida; Brassicales; Brassicaceae. The record is from RNAcentral.
AGCGGUGGAAUCUAUAAGAUUCACGAGGCGAAAACGGUGUUGGUUACACAAUAAUACUCUGCAUUAUAUGAGAAACUUUUGUUUUACUAAAUUAUUUUAUAUUGUCCAGUUAUAAAAAAACUAUUUUAUAUCGUCAAUUUGAUAAGAAAAUUAUAUUUGUAACCAAGUGGAAGGAAGAACCUAGCUACUCCCUCACUUGUUUCUUUUUAUUUACUUGAUUUAUUAUAUUUCUGCAUAGAAAGCCUAAAAUGUAUAGUGGCUUUUUGAUUCUUUUUUUUUUUUUAAGACUCGGCUUUUAGAUUCUUUGAUUGUAUGUAGUGGUAAAAAUCAGUUAUAGCAACAUGUAACAAAAUGAUCAAUUUCGAUGGACCAGCACAAACAAUAAUAAUUGUUAACAUGUCUUCAUUUAGCAACAAGGGUCUAAAAAUGGAAAUUAAUGCGCUUUGGCCAUCAUCACCACGAUAAAAUGUUGAAGAAGAAUCAUUCUCCAAACAUAUAAACUUUUGAAUAAAUUGGCAAAGAUCAGAUAUGGUAUGUUUUAAAGAUACGUGCAGCCAUUAUAU